Molecule: ribosomal RNA, 497 nt
Filed under: uncultured bacterium
Lineage: Bacteria
Description: partial 16S ribosomal RNA
Rfam family: Bacterial small subunit ribosomal RNA
Source: RNAcentral
GAUGAACGCUGGCGGCGUGCCUAAUACAUGCAAGUCGAGCGAACAGAUGAGGAGCUUGCUCCUCUGACGUUAGCGGCGGACGGGUGAGUAACAUGUGGAUAACCUACCUAUAAGACUGGGAUAACUUCGGGAAACCGGAGCUAAUACCGGAUAAUAUAUUGAACCGCAUGGUUCAAUAGUGAAAGACGGUUUUGCUGUCACUUUUAGAUGGAUCCGCGCCGCAUUAGCUAGUUGGUAAGGUAACGGCUUACCAAGGCAACGAUGCGUAGCCGACCUGAGAGGGUGAUCGGCCACACUGGAACUGAGACACGGUCCAGACUCCUACGGGAGGCAGCAGUAGGGAAUAUUCCGCAAUGGGCGAAAGCCUGACGGAGCAACGCCGCGUGAGUGAUGAAGGUCUUCGGAUCGUAAAGCUCUGUUAUUAGGGAAGAACAAAUGUGUAAGUAACUAUGCACGUAUUGACGGUACCUAAUCAAAAAGCCACGGCUAACUACGUG